Non-coding RNA from Hydra vulgaris (swiftwater hydra), 172 nucleotides. NCBI's taxonomy places the organism in Eukaryota, Metazoa, Cnidaria, Hydrozoa, Anthoathecata, Hydridae. The record is from RefSeq and is a predicted model, not a curated record.
UUUAUCUUUAGAACUGUUUUCAAAACUUUUGGUUUGAAUACAAAAGACCAAGUAAAAAUGAUACUGGAAAGAUGUCGUAACCAGCUAGAAGUCGUAACCAGCUCGUAUGAAAGGAUUUCUCGACGUGAAAUAGUUAAUUUUAUUCAACAACUCCAAAAAACAGAGCUCGCUC